Molecule: RNA transcript, 3046 nt
Organism: Hyla sarda
Lineage: Eukaryota; Metazoa; Chordata; Amphibia; Anura; Hylidae
Gene: KCNK12
Gene name: potassium two pore domain channel subfamily K member 12
Exons: 5
Source: RefSeq, a predicted model, not a curated record
UUGUCUCCCCUUGGAGUGGCGGCUCCCGGGUGGUGUAGCCUGCAGCAGCCGUCCCUCCCCUCACCGCUGUCCUCAGUAACACACUGCGCUCUCCAAGGUGCUGAAGUGAGCGGAGCCGAGCAGCCUGCAAACUGCACAGCAAACUCCGCUCCACUACAGCUGAUUAUGCAACCCCGAGCAGGCAACAGGGAGACAACACAGCUCUGUCCUCAGGAAGACACAAGUAUUCCUUCAACUAAGAGAAAACGCCUUCAUCUGCCCUCCUCUACCGGAACAUUACACUGUCUGGCUGCAGGAAGGGACCUGCACAGAUAGAUCACCCAAGGUGCCAGGUACAGCAAGGAAAACCCCUAAAAUCAUCUAUCUGCAGAGGUCACAGGGGCAAGGCCGGAAUGAAGAUGCAGGACACGGAUGUCUUUGGCAAUGCCUAAAAUUCCCCAUUACAAAUGGAUCAGGACGAAAUGGAUACAAAGGAUUUGCAUUGAAGGUCAUGGGCUGGAUGGGAUGUUAUGCACUGGAGACAUUGUAGCCAUUGCCUAUUAUAUUUUCUAGGAUCUAUCUCUAGUAGAUAACAGUAGAGUAUGCAACAUUACCAAGUGCCAGACAACUAUAUGCAUCCCUGAAGGAUCCUGAAGCUCUCAGAUGCCACAUUGUACCUUGUGAUGCCAUGUGUUGUGUCACUCACCACAGUGUCCAUAGACUGAAGAUCCCAAAGGGCUUUACAUUGAAACUCGACUUCUCAAUAUCCCCCAAACAUCUCAGACACAGGUACAAGGUCAAAUGAGAAAUUAGGAAAUUGUUGGGAGGUUUUUCCACCAAUUUUCUGGAACUUGCAGAAUAAAGAAAAAUAAACCCCCCAUAAGAUACAUUACUCUUUGUGGAUUGUCCCCUUAUGAAGUGUGGUCCAAUGCCUCUCCAUCCGACGAGGUGUUGGUUGCUGUCCAGCUGCCCAGUGGUGCUGAAAUUUGGAUGAUGUCUGGCAGGAGAACUAAAAGCUGCUGUUGCUUGCUGCCACUGAAUGAAGACAACGGGAGAUUCCUUCUUCUAGCCAUUUUCAUUGUACUUUAUCUGAUAGCAGGAGCCACAAUCUUUUCCACCAUAGAGAGUCCAUCUGAAGCUGUAGCCCAAAACCGCUGGGACAGGAUCCUGAAGAACUUCAGUCAGUCCUUUAAUAUCAGCCUCCUGGAGCUUCGGUCAUUCCUAAGAGAUUAUGAAGCAGCAAUGGCAGCAGGGAUCAGGGCAGAUGCCCUCAGGCCAAGGUGGGACUUCACUGGAGCCCUGUACUUUGUAGGAACAGUAGUCUCCACUAUAGGUUUUGGAAUGACCACGCCAGCUACUGUAGCAGGAAAAGUGUUCCUCAUCUUCUAUGGUCUCUUUGGAUGUGCUGGUACAAUACUAUUUUUCAACCUAUUUUUGGAAAGGAUAAUAUCACUUUUGGCUUUUGUAAUGAAAGCUUGCCAUGAAAGACGACUACGAAUAAAUGGGCUUCUACCUCCGACGGUCCGAAGAAGUUCAUCUGUAUCAGAAGUUGACAGCCUUGUUGGGUGGAAGCCAUCGGUUUACCAUGUUAUGCUAAUAUUGGGCAUUUUUGCUAUAACCCUCUCUUGCUGUGCAUCAGCCAUGUAUACCCCGGUGGAAGGGUGGAAUUACGUUGAUUCUUUGUAUUAUUGUUUUGUCACCUUUAGCACCAUUGGAUUUGGAGAUUUGGUAAGCAGCCAAAAUGCUGAAUACAAAUAUCAGGGAUUAUACAGGUUUGGAAAUUUCAUGUUUAUACUUUUGGGAGUUUGUUGCAUUUACUCACUUUUUAACGUCAUAUCGAUUGUAAUCAAGCAAGUUUUAAACUGGAUCCUAAAAAAAUUAAGGUGCCGAUGCUGUGAUAAGUGCCAUAAAUCAAACCCGCGUCUUGGACGCCGAAAUGCCAUCACCCCUGGAGCUCGUUUUCGCAGGAACCAGUUGUCUAUGGAGACAGAUGGAAACAAUGAUAGUGACACAGAAGGAAGGAGGUUAUCUGGGGAGAUGAUCUCCAUGAGGGAUCUCACGGCAUCCAAUAAGGUGUCUCUCGCCAUACUACAGAAACAGUUAUCUGAAACAGCCAAUGGUUAUCCUAGAACUGUGUGCAUCAACACAAGACAAAAUGGCUUCUCAGGAGGAGUCGGAGCUUUAGCCAUCAUGAACAAUAGGUUGGCAGAAACAAGUGAUUCUAGCUUAUAAAAAAGACCCCAUACCAACCAGAACAUAAUCCUGUCCGGCUACAGCAUCAUCUUUGUCCAAGAUGAAGCACAGGCAUGGAAAAAGUCCAGUAAGUGAGGGCAGGACUGACAUGCCUCUGUGCUCACUCCUGUCCUAUCAGACCACAGCAUGAACACACAGAGGAGGAGGUUACAGAGCAGCCUGCAAUGAUUGGAUGAAGAGACCCAGCACAGCAGACUCAGGGAGGAAGAUGAGUCAUGCAGAGUGAGGACACGCCGCCUCCAAAGCACAGAAUGACAAACCAAGUAUUCAAGCAGCAAGAACCAGUGCUUUGGACUUCCUACUACUCGAAACUGAAUGCAAUUUUAUUGACUUUAAUAUUUGAUGUAUUUCUAUUUUUUUUUUUUUUUUUUUUUUUGCUAUAACUAAAGAUGUCACAGAGAAUACAACUAUUGCAGAGCGGUAUAGAAGACAUGAACUCUAGAUUUCAGGUCCUUAUCUUACUAAUGGCAUGCAAAAGCACAAGAUGUCAUUUUUAAUACCUGCAAUGCUCUUUUGUACAUUUUUUAAAAAUUAAUAUUUACUUAAGGGUAAAGGUGACCUAUUUUUUUUUCUUCUUAAAGAAAUCUCCAUUUUGUUCAUACAGAAUUUAUGAUAUCUAUGUUAAAAAAAGAAAAAAAAACUUUAUUAUUUUGCUGUGUUUGCUAUUCACAAAGUGCUUGAUGGAAUGAAUAUGCAACUACGAGAAUGCUAUCCACCUAUAACUGGCUAUUAUUUUUUGCAUGAUUACAACAUAUUGCUGUAAAAGUGCUAUUUAAAGAGAUAAAAAGGUUCAAAUGAUAUUUGUAAAAAAAAA